Aegilops tauschii subsp. strangulata is the source of this 685-nucleotide long non-coding RNA. RefSeq lists it as uncharacterized. The record is from RefSeq and is a predicted model, not a curated record. NCBI's taxonomy places the organism in Eukaryota, Viridiplantae, Streptophyta, Magnoliopsida, Poales, Poaceae.
CAUACCCGACCCCGAUGGGUGAAACGUGUACACGCGCAACAUCUGACGGCCGCCUGGUCGAGUGCGCCUCUCCACUGCGACGGCUCGUUCACGGCUCGGCUUGAAAGGAUUCCACGCACCACACAAGAAAACCCUCGUCCACGCCGUCGUGGUCGCCGCGUGCGCUAGCGGCCCCCUCGUCCGCCGCUGCCACGCCCCGGAUCGGCGACCGAUGCCACAACGUUUUUGCCUGAGACUCCACCCUCCCCGCCCCAGUCACGCUCAGCAAGAAGCAGCAGAAGAAGGCGGCGCAGCGCCAGCGCCAGCAGCAGCCUGCGGUAGCCGGCAAGGAGACGGAGCUCUUCGCCCUGACUUCAAUGCCAGGUUCAGCCCAGGGAGAUAUAAUCAAGCAACACAUGCUCUUUACUGUAUCUAAAAUCAGAAUGCCAAGACAGGAGCAGAAGCUGGGUAUACGGCCACCAACUCGAAGAUAAAAUCAGGGUGGUUCCAUGACAAAUGCUCAAACAUGUGUAUAUAAAUUGAAAGACUUAUAGUUUGAUGAUUCUAGCCUUUCUUUGUAAUCUGAAAGUUUGCGAAGAUUGUAAUAGAAACAUAGAUCCCUUUGUAAUCUAUUCGGAACCCUUUUUUGUCGUUUAACAAGCAUCUCAUGAUAGGAACAAGAGAAACAAUCUCAGUUUUGAAGUCU